Molecule: long non-coding RNA, 2141 nt
Filed under: Equus caballus (horse)
Lineage: Eukaryota; Metazoa; Chordata; Mammalia; Perissodactyla; Equidae
Description: lncRNA (ENSECAG00000053485.1)
Source: RNAcentral
GGGAACUUUGUGUUUGGGAGAGAGUUAGUGAAGUGGUACAACUGAAGAUUGUCCAGAAAGAAGUCUAGAGAGGCAAAGAAAUGGAAAAUAUAAAAAAGACAUUAAGAGACAUGUAGGAUCCAGUGAGAAAGCCUCAUAUUUGUUUAAUCAGAUUUCUAAAAAAGACAAGAGAGGGAAAAUGGGACAAAGACAUUAGCUAAAGUGAUAAUGAAAACUUUCGAGAAUUAAUGAAAAAUACCAAUCCACAGAUAAGAAGCCAACAAGUCACAAGCAAGAUAAAUAACGAGAAAUGCACACCUAGAUACAUCAUAGUUAAGUGAUAAAAUAAUAGAAACACAGAGAAACGGUCUUAAAUACACUCAAAGAAAUACUAGCUUCAAAGAAGUAAUAAUUAGGCUGUAGCUGACUUCUCAAUACCAACUAUGGAAUGAACUUUAAUGUGCUUAGAGAAAAACAACUGUUGAUCUGAACAUAAACUUCUGCAUCUGGCAAAAACUUUCAAUAAUGAAUACAAAAUAAAUGUACUUUCAGAAAAAUAAAACUGGAAGUUGCCACCAGCAGACUCUCAAUAAGGAAAGUGAUCCCAGAUGCAAGGAUUGAGAUAAAAGAGGUGAGGAAUGAUAAAGAAAGUAGUAAAAAUGUGUGUAAACAUUGACAGCACAAAAUAAUAAGAAUGAUGAUCAUGAUGGUGACUACAACAAUUUGUGGGAUUAUGUAAGUAAUUAAAAUGCCUAAUAUCAUAUAAAUUGGCAGGGGGAAUGAAUGACUGGAAUUCAAGUUCUAGCAACCUUGUAUUAUUCGGAAGUCUAAACAGUCAUCAGUUUUAGACUUUGAUAAGUAUGUAAGUUGAAAUGUAUAAGAUAAUCACAGAACAAACAGAAAUAAAACCAUUAACCUCCAAUUUAAGUAGAGAAAAUGGAAAAAGAAAAAGUAAAUAAUCCAAAAGAAGGCAAGAAAAAAGAGGGGGAAAAGCAGAAGAAAGCACAAAAGAUGAUAAAAAAUAAAUCCAAAUAUGUUAUUACACUAACUAGAAAUGUUGCUCUUGUACACUGCUGAUGGGUCAUGUAAAAUAGCACAACUUUUUGGAAAUAAUUUGGCUGUUUCUACACUAAAGUUGAAUAUCCUGAUGCUGUUGUUAGUGCCAUCAAGUGGAUUCCAACUCCUAGCACCCCUGUGGACGGCAGAGCAGAACCCUGCCCCGUCUUUUGCACCAUUCUCUCACCUUCUGGCACUAUAUCAGACAAUGCUCCACUGCUAUUCAUAGGGUUUUCAUGGCCAGUUCUUUCAGAAGUGGGUGGCCAGGUCCUUCUUCCUAGUCAGUCUUAGUCCAGAAGCUCCACUGAGACCCGUCCACCAAGGGUGACCCUGCUGGUAUUUGACCAGUGACAUGGCUUUCAGCAUCACAGCCACAGUAUGACAACUGAUAGACGAGUGGUGUAGUUCCCUGACCAGAAACGAACCAGGCCGCUACAGUGAGUGCUGAACCUCCACCACUAGACCACCAGGGCUGGCUGCCAACAUCCUACCACAGCGCAAGCCUAAUUCCUACUAAACAUACAAACUAGAGACACCCUUGUGCAUGUAUGCCAGGAGACAUAUACAAGCAUGUUUACAAUGAAGCUAAAACUAACCCUAUGCCCAUCAGCAGUAAAUGCAAUAACAAACUGAUUUUUCAUAACUUCCAGGAUAUAGCCAUGUUCUACUUAUUGGCCUGGGUAACAAGUAUGCCGAUAUUUGUUUUUAUCAUUGCCGUUAAAAUGUACCUGCACACUUUCAGAUACACAUGCGUGUAUUUUACAAUUUCACAGUAAUUAAAAAGAAGGCAAGUGAGAAUCAGAGAAGUAAAUUAUCAAAGGCUGCAAAGCCAGUCAGUGCUAGAGCCACAAUUAGAAAAUGUCUUUAUGACUCUUUAUCUCAUCAUCUUAACAAUUAUUCCAAAAAAUAACAUGGAAUACUACUAGCAUCAACCCAUUAGAAACUAGUGUUAAAAAGACAAAAGCAAGCACAUAGCUUUUGUCGAGAUCCUUACUGGGGCCCCUCGUUUUCAGUACCACUCCCAGAUCCCAGCUUCACCCCACCUCCCAUCACAACCUACUCAGACCUAGCAGGAAGCCACAUUUCAGAAACAGACUGAGAGCAAU